This 282-nucleotide long non-coding RNA is filed under the name Mustela putorius furo (domestic ferret). Its description in RNAcentral is "lncRNA (ENSMPUG00000026843.1)". Lineage: Eukaryota; Metazoa; Chordata; Mammalia; Carnivora; Mustelidae. The record is from RNAcentral.
CUAACUAAUAGAACAAGGUUCUCCUGGAUGGCAGGAGAAACCAGAGCAAGAUGGCAGCGGGGCAGAACGAGGCCUUCUGGCUGAUGGUGAUUUUAUUUAUUCAUUAGGGAGAGGAUAUGUGAGCAGGAGGAAGGAACAGAGAGGGAAGAAAAAGGAGGAAGAAAGAAUCUUAAGCAGACUCUGUGCAGAGCAUGGAGCCCAACAUGGGGUGCGAUGCCAAGACCCUGAGAUCAUGACCUGAACUGAAAUCAAGAGCUGGAUGUUAACCGACUGAGCCAUCCA